Molecule: long non-coding RNA, 6486 nt
Filed under: Ananas comosus (pineapple)
Lineage: Eukaryota; Viridiplantae; Streptophyta; Magnoliopsida; Poales; Bromeliaceae
Description: long non-coding RNA (ACOM_LNC038166)
Source: RNAcentral
UUUUCUCAUUUUAUCGAAGAAAGCGUAAAACCUAAUUAUAUUUUUCUAUUAUGACCAGAGAGUGUAAAUUUGGAACGAAUCGAUGUCAACGCUCACAAGAACAAAAAUCGGAACAACAUUAGACUACUCAGUUGCUCCAUAACAGUAUAACUUUGCAACGAGUACUUUUUCUCAUUUUAUCGAAGAAAACGCAAAAUCUAAUUAUAUUGUUCUAUUAUGCCCAGAGAGUGUAAAUUUGGAACGAAUCGAUGUCAACGCUCACAUGAACAAAAAUCGGGACAACAUUAGACUACUGAGUUGCGCCCUAACAGUAUAAAUUUGCAACGAGACCUUUUUCUCAUUUUAUCGAAGAAAGCAUCAAACCUAAUUAUAUUGUUCUAUUAUGCCCAGACAGUGUAAUUUUGGAACGAAUCGAUGUCAACGCUCACAAGAAUAAAAACCGGAACAACAUUAGACUACUCAGUCGCGCCCUAACAGUAUAACUUUGCAACGAGUACUUUUUCUCAUUUUAUCGAACAAAGCGUCAAACCUAAUUAUAUUGAUUUAUUAUGCCCAGAGAGUGUAAAUUUAGAACGAAUCGAUGUCAACGCUCACAAGAACAAAAACCGGAACAACAAUAGACUACUUAGUUGCGCCAUAACAGUAUAACUUUGCAACGAAUGCUUUUUCUCAUUUUAUCGAAAAAGCGCAAAUUUAAUUAUAUUGUUCUAUAAUGCCCAGAGAGUGUAAAAUUUGGAACGAAUCGAUGUCAACGCUCACAAGAACAAAAACCGGAACAACAUGAGACUACUCAGUUACGCCCUAACAGUAUAAAUUUGCAACGAGCACUUUUUCUCAUUUUAUCGAAGAAAGCAUUAAACCUAAUUAUAUUGUAAUAUUAUGCCCAGAGGGUGUAAAUUUGGAACGAAUCGAUGUCAACGCUCACAAGAACAAAAACCGGAACAACAUUAGACUACUCAGUUGCGCCAUAACAGUAUAAUUUUGCAACGAGUGCUUUUCUCAUUUCAUCGAAGAAAGCGCAAAUCUAAUUAUAUUGUUCUAUUAUGCCCAGAGAGUGUAAAUUUGGAACGAAAUCGAUGUCAACGCUCACAAGAACAAAAACAGGAACAACAUUAGACUACUCAGUUGCGCCCUUACAGUAUAACUUUGCAACGAGUACUUUUUCUCAUUUUAUCGAAGAAAGCGUAAAACCUAAUUGUAUUCUUCUAUUAUGCCCAGAGAGUGUAAAUUUGGAACGAAUCGAUGUCAACGUUCACAAGAACAAAAACCGGAACAACAUUAGACUACUCAGUUGCGCCCUAACAGUAUAACUUUGCGACGAGUACUUUUUCUCAUUCUAUCGAACAAAGAGUAAAACAUAAUUAUAUUGUUCUAUUAUGCCCAGAGAGUGUAAAUUUGGAACGAAUCGAUGUCAACGCUCGCAAGAACAAAAACCGAAACAACUUUAGACUACUCAGUUGCGCAAUAACAGUAUAACAUUGCAACGAGUGAUUUUUCUCAUUUUAUCGAAGAAAGCGUAAAACCUAAUUAUAUUUUUCUAUUAUGACCAGAGAGUGUAAAUUUGGAACGAAUCGAUGUCAACGCUCACAAGAACAAAAAUCGGAACAACAUUAGACUACUCAGUUGCGCCCUAACAGUAUAACUUUGCAACGAGUACUUAUUCUCAUUUUAUCGAACAAAGCGUCAAACCUAAUUAUAUUGAUUUAUUAUGCCCAGAGAGUGUAAAUUUGGAACGAAUCAAUGUCAGCGCUCACAGGAACAAAAACCGGAACAACAAUAGACUGCUUAGUUGCGCCAUAACAGUAUAACUUUGCAACGAGUGCUUUUUCUCAUUUUAUCGAAAAAGCGCAAAUUUAAUUAUAUUGUUCUAUUCUGCCCAGAGAGUGUAAAUUUGGAACGAAUCGAUGUCAACGCUCACAAGAAAAAAAACCAGAACAACAUUAGACUACUCAGUUGCGACAUAACAGUAUAACUUUGCAACGAGUACUUUUUCUCAUUUUAUCGAAGAAAACGCAAAAUCUAAUUAUAUUGUUCUAUUAUGCCCAGAGAGUGUAAAUUUGGAACGAAUCGAUGUCAACGCUCACAUGAACAAAAAUCGGGACAACAUUAGACUACUGAGUUGCGCCCUAACAGUAUAAAUUUGCAACGAGACCUUUUUCUCAUUUUAUCGAAGAAAGCAUCAAACCUAAUUAUAUUGUUCUAUUAUGCCCAGACAGUGUAAUUUUGGAACGAAUCGAUGUCAACGCUCACAAGAAUAAAAACCGGAACAACAUUAGACUACUCAGUCGCGCCCUAACAGUAUAACUUUGCAACGAGUACUUUUUCUCAUUUUAUCGAAGAAAGCGUCAAACCUAAUUAUAUUGUUCUAUAAUGCCCAGAGAGUGUAAAUUUGGAACGAAUCGAUAUCAACACUCACAAAAAUAAAAACCGGAACAACAUUUGAGUACUCAGUUGUGCCUCUAACAGGUAUAACUUUUUGCAACCAGUACUUUAUUCUCAUUUUUUUGAAGUAAGCGGCCAAAACUAAUUUAUAUUGUAUUCUAUUUAGCCCCAGAGAGCUUGUAAAUUUCUGGAACGAAUUGAUGUCAACGCUCCACAAGAACAAAAACUGGAACAAAAUUAGGCUACUUAGUUGCGCCCUAACAGUAUAACUUUGCAACGAGUGCUUUUUCACAUUUUAUCGAAGAAAGCGUCAAACCUAAUUAUAUUGCUCUAUAAUGCCCAGAGAGUGUAAAUUUGGAACGAAUCGAUAUCAACACUCACAAAAAUAAAAACCGGAACAACAUUUGAGCACUCAGUUGUGUGCCCUUAACAGGUAUAACUUUUGCAACCAGUACUUUUUCUUCAUUUUAUCGAAAGUAAUGCGUCAAAACUAAUUUAUAUUAUGUCUCUUUUACGCCCAGAAGAGAGUAAAUCUGGAACGGAAUCGAUGUCAACGCUCACAAGAACAAAAACUGGAACAAAAUUAGGCUACUUAGUUGCGCCCUAACAGUAUAACUUUGCAACGAGUGCUUUUUCACAUUUUAUCGAAGAAAGCGUCAAACCUAAUUAUAUUGCUCUAUAAUGCCCAGAGAGUGUAAAUUUGGAACGAAUCGAUAUCAACACUCACAAAAAUAAAAACCGGAACAACAUUUGAGUACUCAGUUGCGCCUUAACAGUAUAACUUUGCAACCAGUACUUUUUCUCAUUUUAUCGAAGUAAGCGUCAAACCUAAUUAUAUUAUUCUAUUAUGCCCAGAGAGUGUAAAUUUGGAACGAUUCGAUGUCAACGCUCACAAGAACAAAAACCGGAACAACAUUAGACUCUUCAGUUGCACCCUAACAGUAUAACUUUGCAACGCGUACUUUUUCUCGUUUUAUCGAAGAAAGCGUAAAAUCUAAUUAUAUUGUUGUAUUAUGCCCAGAUAGUGUAAAUUUGGAACGAAUCGAUGUCAACGCUCACAAGAACAAAAACCGGAACAACAUUAGAGCACUCAGUUCCGCCAUAACAGUAUAACUUUGCAACGAGUGCUUUUUUUCAUUUUAUCGAAGAAAGCGUAAAACCUAGUUAUAUUAUUCUAUUAUGCCCAGAGAGUGUAAAUUUGGAACGAAUCGAUUUCAACGCUCACAAGAACAAAAACCGGAACAACAUUAGACUACUCAGUUGCGCCCUAACAGUAUAACUUUGCAACGAGUACUUUUUCUCAUUUAUCGAAGAAAGCGUCAAACCUAAUUAUAUUGUUCUAUCUUGCCCAGAGAGUGUAAAUUUGGAACGAAUCGAUGUCAAAGCUCACAAGAACAAAAAUCGGAUCAAUAUUAGACUACUCAGUUGCGCCCUAACAGUAUAACUUUGCAACGAGUGCUUUUUCUCAUUUUAUCGAAGAAAGCGUAAAUCUAAUUAUAUUGUUCUAUUAUACCUAGAGAGUGUAAAAUUGGAACGAACUGAUGUGAGCGCUCACAAGAACAAAAACCGGAUCAAUAUUAGACUACUCAGUUCCGCCCUAACAGUAUAACUUUGCAACGAGUACUUUUUCUCAUUUAUCGAAGAAAGCGUCAAACCUAAUUAUAUUGUUCUAUUAUGCCCAGAGAGUGUAAAUUUGGAACGAAUCGAUUUUAAAGCUCACAAGAACAAAAACCGGAACAAUAUUAGACAACUCAGUUGCGCCCGAACAGUAUAACUUUGCAACGAGUGCUUUUUCUCAUUUUAUCGAAGAAAGCGUCAAACCUCAUUAUAUUGUUCUAUUAUGCCGAGAGAGUGUAAAUUUGGAACGAAUCGAUGUCAACGCUCACAAGAACAAAAACCGGAACAACAUUAGACUCUUCAGUUGCACCCUAACAGUAUAACUUUGCAACGCGUACUUUUUCUCGUUUUAUCGAAGAAAGCGUAAAAUCUAAUUAUAUUGUUGUAUUAUGCCCAGAUAGUGUAAAUUUGGAACGAAUCGAUGUCAACGCUCACAAGAACAAAAACCGGAACAACAUUAGAGCACUCAGUUCCGCCAUAACAGUAUAACUUUGCAACGAGUGCUUUUUUUCAUUUUAUCGAAGAAAGCGUAAAACCUAGUUAUAUUAUUCUAUUAUGCCCAGAGAGUGUAAAUUUGGAACGAAUCGAUUUCAACGCUCACAAGAACAAAAACCGGAACAACAUUAGACUACUCAGUUGCGCCCUAACAGUAUAACUUUGCAACGAGUACUUUUUCUCAUUUUAUCGAAGAAAGCGUAAAAUCUAAUUAUAUUGUUCUAUUAUUCCCAGAUAGUGUAAAUUUGGAACGAAUUGAUGUCAACGCUCACAAGAACAAAAACCGGAACAACUUUAGACUACUCAGUUGCGCCUAACAGUAUAACUUUGCAACGAGUACUUUUUCUCAUUUUAUCGAAGAAAGCGUCAAAACUAAUUAUAUUGUUCUAUUACGCCCAGAGAGUGUAAAUUUGGAACGAAUUGAUGUCAACGCUCACAAGAACAAAAACUGGAACAAAAUUAGGCUACUUAGUUGCGCCCUAACAGUAUAACUUUGCAACGAGUGCUUUUUCACAUUUUAUCGAAGAAAGCGUCAAACCUAAUUAUAUUGCUCUAUAAUGCCCAGAGAGUGUAAAUUUGGAACGAAUCGAUAUCAACACUCACAAAAAUAAAAACCGGAACAACAUUUGAGUACUCAGUUGCGCCUUAACAGUAUAACUUUGCAACCAGUACUUUUUCUCAUUUUAUCGAAGUAAGCGUCAAACCUAAUUAUAUUAUUCUAUUAUGCCCAGAGAGUGUAAAUCUGGAACGAAUCGAUGUCAACGCUCACAAGAACAAAAACCGGAACAACAUUAGACUACUCAGUUGCGCCAUAACAAUAUAACUUUGCAACGAGUACUUUUUCUUAUUUUAUCGAAGAAAGCGUAAAUCCUAAUUAUAUUAUUCUAUUAUGCCCAGAGAGAGUAAAUUUAGAACCAAUCGAUGUCAACGCUCACAAGAACAAAAAUCGGAACAACAAUAGACUACUCAGUUGCACCCUAACAGUAUAACUUUACAACGAGUGCUUUUUCUCAUUUUAUCGAAGAAGGCGUCAAACCUAAUUAUAUUGUUCUAUUAUUCCGAGAAAGUGUAAAUUUGGAACGAAUCGAUGUCAAAGCUCACAAGAACAAAAACCGGAACAAUAUUGGACUACUCAGUUGCGCCCUAACAGUAUAACUUUGCAACGAGUGCUUUUUCCCAUUUUAUCGAAGAAAGCGUAAAUGCUAAUUAUAUUGUUCUAUUAUGCCCAGAGAGUGUAAAUUUGGAACGAACCGAUGUCAGCGCUCACAAGAACAAAAACCGGAACAACAUUAGACUAAUCAGUUGCGCCCGAACAGUAUAAUUUUGCAACGAGUGAUUUUUCUCAUUUUAUCGAAGAAAGCGUCAAACCUAAUUAUAUUGUUCUAUUAUGCCCAGAGAGUGUAAAUUUGGAACGAAUCGAUGUCAACGCUCACAUGAACAAAAAUCGGGACAACAUUAGACUACUGAGUUGCGCCCUAACAGUAUAAAUUUGCAACGAGACCUUUUUCUCAUUUUAUCGAAGAAAGCAUCAAACCUAAUUAUAUUGUUCUAUUAUGCCCAGACAGUGUAAUUUUGGAACGAAUCGAUGUCAACGCUCACAAGAAUAAAAACCGGAACAACAUUAGACUACUCAGUCGCGCCCUAACAGUAUAACUUUGCAACGAGUACUUUUUCUCAUUUUAUCGAAGAAAGCGUCAAACCUAAUUAUAUUGUCUAUUAUGACCAGAGAGUGUAAAUUUGGAACGAAUCGAUGUCAACGCUCACAAGAACAAAAACCGGAAGAAAAUUAGACCACUUAGUUGCGCCCUAACAGUAUAACUUUGCAACGAGUACUUUUUCUCAUUUUAUCGAAUAAAGCGUAAAACCUAAUUAUAUUGUUCUAUUAUGCCCAGAGAGUGUAAAUUUGGAACGAAUCGAUGUCAACGCUCACAAGAACAAAAACCGGAAUAACUUUAGACUACUCAGUUGCGCCAUAACAAUAUAACUUUGCAA